GACUUUGGGGCAUCCAUUCAAUUAUUGAAAGGUAGUUGCAAAAGCAUGAGUAGGGAACAUGAGGUGACUUCAAACUUUUCCCAUCCAUAAAUACUCUUAUCCUUUUAACAUUAGGGUCAUACUUACUAUUUAUUCAUCUCUCUCUCUCUCUUUCAAACCUUUUCUCAUCUAUAAAUACUCUUAUGUUUUUAACAUUAGGGCCAUACUUAUUAUUUAUUUCAUCUCUCUCUCUCUCUCUCUCUUUUGCUGUAAAACUUUUCUUUCAAGGAGGAAAUGGUGGAUCUAAUUAUUCUUUGGUGGCUUUACAAUGGUUUUCCUAUCCCACUUACUCCCAUUAUGACCCAACCCAAAGGAAGUGCAUGGUUAUUCAUUCUUAUGCCAAUGCAUCUCGACUAUUAAAUCUGAAUGGCAUAGGCGGUAUCAGAAAAAAAUAAAGGAAGGUGGACUUAACGAACAGGGGCCCAAAAGAAAAUAGAGUAUCUCAUUACCAGACUCUACAUGCCUGGGUUCACCUUAAUUGACUACAGUUUCUUAUGGAAAUAUGUACUAUUGUAUUCAAUCUUGCAUUGACUGCAGUUUCUUAUGGAAAUAUGUACUAUUGUAUUCAAUCUUGCAUUGACUGCAGUUUUUUAUGGAAAUAUGUACUAUUGUAUUCAAUCUUGCAUUACUACAGUUUCUCAAGGAAAUAUGGCUUCUUGACAUUU
Amborella trichopoda is the source of this 704-nucleotide long non-coding RNA. RefSeq lists it as uncharacterized. Lineage: Eukaryota; Viridiplantae; Streptophyta; Magnoliopsida; Amborellales; Amborellaceae. The record is from RefSeq and is a predicted model, not a curated record.